RNAcentral lists this ribosomal RNA (274 nucleotides) under uncultured bacterium. RNAcentral describes it as "partial 16S ribosomal RNA". It matches the Rfam family "Bacterial small subunit ribosomal RNA", at positions 523 to 796 of the family's 1533-position model. The record is from RNAcentral.
AUACGGAGGGUGCAAGCGUUACUCGGAAUCACUGGGCGUAAAGCGCGCGCAGGCGGGCUGAUAAGUUGGAUGUGAAAGCCUACGGCUCAACCGUAGAACUGCAUCCAAAACUGUCAGUCUAGAGUCUGGGAGGGGAAGAUGGAAUUAGUUGUGUAGGGGUAAAAUCCGUAGAGAUAACUAGGAAUACCAAAAGCGAAGGCAAUCUUCUGGAACAGUACUGACGCUGAGGCGCGAAAGCGUGGGGAGCAAACAGGAUUAGAAACCCUAGUAGUCC